UGAUAUCGGACUCAACAUUGUUCGCGUUGGAAAUCCUGCACGUAUAUCCCCUGCUGUAGCUUCAAAAUCUUUGGCUGAAAUUGUGAAUACCGAGCUGGCUGAUUUCCGAGCAGAGAUUGAGAGGAAGAAGUCAGAUCUUAGAAGAGACCUGAGAUAUUGUCUUAAGGAUGAUUCUUUGGCUGCUGGUAUACGUCAACUUCUGAAACAGCUUGGAAAGUCCAUUAAGAGGGAAGAGAAGGAAACUGUGAAAGAAAUCUUAUCAAGUGCUCAGGUUGUGCUUGCAACUGAAAUUGUGAAUACCAAGCUGGCUGAUUUCCGAGCAGAGAUUGAGAGGAAGAAGUCAGAUCUUAGAAGAGACCUGAGGUAUUGUCUUAAGGAUGAUUCUUUGGCUGCUGGUAUACGUCAACUUCUGAAACAGCUUGGAAAGUCCAUCAAGAGGGAAGAGAAGGAAACUGUGAAAGAAAUCUUAUCAAGUGCUCAGGUUGUGCUUGCAACAAACAUUGGGGCAGCUGACCCACUAAUUAGGCGGCUGGACACGUUCGAUUUGGUUAUUAUAGAUGAAGCUGGCCAAGCAAUUGAACCAUCA
Molecule: long non-coding RNA, 586 nt
Filed under: Nicotiana benthamiana
Lineage: Eukaryota; Viridiplantae; Streptophyta; Magnoliopsida; Solanales; Solanaceae
Description: long non-coding RNA (NBEN_LNC021426)
Source: RNAcentral